Molecule: long non-coding RNA, 432 nt
Organism: Symphalangus syndactylus (siamang)
Lineage: Eukaryota; Metazoa; Chordata; Mammalia; Primates; Hylobatidae
Source: RefSeq, a predicted model, not a curated record
UUGUGACAUAACACUGGGUGCAACAACCAGGUCAUGUGUCUCUUCAGCCUGGGCCUAGCCCACCACGGAACACUGUGACAUAUUGCUGCUUCCAGAAACUAGGUUAUUUACCUCUUCUCUUCUGCCUGGACACUGCCAAAAUAAAGGAGAUUGUAGCAAUUCACUGGACCCAGACCCUAGUUGAGGGAGCAUUGUGACAUAUCACUGGGCUCAGCACCCAGGUGAUGUUCCUCUCCUGCCUGGUCCCUUCCAUCAGGGAAUAUUGUACAAAUCUCUGGCCCAGCACCCAGUUGAUGUGACUCUCUACUGACUACCAACUCACAGGUUACAUGUCCCAUGUUGCAGUCUCCAAAGUUAUCAGAAACCUUCAUUUAAAAGCACCUGGCAAAAUUCCAUAGCGGACCAUAAAUCACCUCUCGAAGAGGAUCGAAU